Molecule: ribosomal RNA, 268 nt
Filed under: uncultured bacterium
Lineage: Bacteria
Description: partial small subunit ribosomal RNA
Rfam family: Bacterial small subunit ribosomal RNA
Source: RNAcentral
AGAGCGAACGCUGGCGGCGUGCUUAACACAUGCAAGUCGAACGCGCAGCAUUCUGUAGCAAUACAGGAUGUGGGCGCGUGGCGAACGGGUGCGUAACACGUGGAUAACCUUCCUUCAGGUGGGGAAUAACCCAGCGAAAGUUGGGCUAAUACCGCAUAAAAUUACGAGGGUACAUGCUCUUGUAUUCAAAGGCGCAAGUCGCCAGAAGAGGGAUCCGCGGCCGAUUAGCUUGUGGCGAGGUAAUGGCUCACCAAGGCAAUGAUCGGUA